UCCCUGGCAGUCCAAUGGUUAAGACUCUGCACUCCCAAUGCAGGGGGUACAGGUUUGAUCCCUGAUCAGGGGA
RNAcentral lists this transfer RNA (73 nucleotides) under Ovis aries (sheep). It matches the Rfam family "tRNA". From Rfam's summary of the family: Transfer RNA (tRNA) molecules are approximately 80 nucleotides in length. Their secondary structure includes four short double-helical elements and three loops (D, anti-codon, and T loops). Lineage: Eukaryota; Metazoa; Chordata; Mammalia; Artiodactyla; Bovidae. The record is from Rfam by way of RNAcentral.